Long non-coding RNA from Panicum virgatum (switchgrass), 1011 nucleotides. RefSeq lists it as uncharacterized. The transcript has 2 exons. The record is from RefSeq and is a predicted model, not a curated record. Lineage: Eukaryota; Viridiplantae; Streptophyta; Magnoliopsida; Poales; Poaceae.
CGGCGGAGAAGGCGCCGUGGAAGCUCUCCCGGUACGACAGCGCCUCGAGGUCGCCGGCCAUCUUGAGCAGGAUCUCCCCGAGGUCCGACCGCCCCGCCGCCAGGGACUCGCGGUACGACCGCGCGGCGGUGCGGCUGAUGUCCACGUUCGCCGGCUCCGGGCAGUACUCGUCGUCCAGCCACUUGUGCAGCGUCUCCCUCAGCCACACCGAUUCCUGCCGAUCGAGGAGCACGAAAAUGGAGGUGAGGUGAGGAAAGAUGCGAGCUCUGCUGUCUGCUGUCUGCUGUCUGCACACUCCAACAUUUAUUCCUGCUUGGACUCGAUUAAUUUCUAGUUUUUCUACUGCACGGUGAAUGAGCUAGCAGUAGGGUCAGUUCAUUGGCUCCUCCCUAAAUUUCGACACAAUCGGCCACAGGAUUUCUGCUUCGCCCUAUCCAUGCUGCGGAUGCAAGAUUCGUACCCCAAGAUUCCCACUGCUCUCGCGCAGUAUCUGAAAUCUGAACAGCAGAAGCUGAGAGCUGGAUAGAACUGCAGCAACCACCACGAGGCUGCUGCAGGAAUCGAUGGCCGAAACCAGACAAAGGAUGGGAAUUCGGAAAGAACCUGCGCCGCUCCCUCAGGCGUCAGCCAGGAAUCGGGCACCCUCAGCUCCUGCACGCGGUUGUCCCGCUCCCCGCCGGAAGCUGCGGCGGCGAGGAGAGGCGGUCGUGCCGGGGAGGGUCGAGCGGGGGCGGAGGCCGCGGGUCGGGAUGGAUUGCUGGGGGGUGCUAGGAAAGGUUGCGCCUUUGACGGAGGUGAAGGGGAGUGGAGGCGGCCAUGGAGGAGAAGGGCAGCGAAGGAGGUAGAAGAUGACAUUUUUUCCCCUUUUUUGAGUAGCAGAGGUUUCUGUUCUUUGGAAGCUGUGUUCUUUUAAUUCAUUUAAUAAAAAUCAUAUUGUCAGCUUCCUUCCUUCCUCUUGUGAGUUGGUGCAUUGGAAUUUCAUAAGAAUGUCAUGAUUGUUCCAUAUGUAAA